Molecule: small nucleolar RNA, 107 nt
Organism: Beta vulgaris subsp. vulgaris (sugar beet)
Lineage: Eukaryota; Viridiplantae; Streptophyta; Magnoliopsida; Caryophyllales; Amaranthaceae
Rfam family: Plant small nucleolar RNA R71
About the family: R71 is a member of the C/D box family of snoRNAs containing the C (UGAUGA) and D (CUGA) box motifs. Multiple nearly identical copies of this snoRNA have been identified in Arabidopsis, and it is thought to function as a 2'-O-ribose methylation guide for 18S ribosomal RNA.
Source: Rfam
AGAUUAUGGUUUGGGCAUUCUCUUUGCAAGUCUUUGAACCUAUUUCAUGCUUCCUUGAAUGUCUCAUCAGGUUCUUGUUGGAAGGCAGCAAGCUUGUGCUUGAUUUC